This 409-nucleotide ribosomal RNA is filed under the name Fusobacteriota bacterium. Its description in RNAcentral is "Fusobacteria bacterium partial 16S ribosomal RNA". It matches the Rfam family "Bacterial small subunit ribosomal RNA", at positions 355 to 776 of the family's 1533-position model. Lineage: Bacteria; Fusobacteriati; Fusobacteriota. The record is from RNAcentral.
UGGGGAAUAUUGCACAAUGGAGGGAACUCUGAUGCAGCAACGCCGCGUGCGGGAUGACGGCCUUCGGGUUGUAAACCGCUUUCAGCCAUGACGAAGCUUUUGUGACGGUAGUGGUAGAAGAAGCACCGGCUAACUACGUGCCAGCAGCCGCGGUGAUACGUAGGGUGCGAGCGUUGUCCGGAAUUAUUGGGCGUAAAGAGCUUGUAGGCGGUUUGUCGCGUCGAUAGUGUAAACACGCAGCUUAACUGUGUGCCUGCUGUCGAUACGGGCUGACUAGAGGAGGGUAGGGGAGAAUGGAAUUCCCGGUGGAGCGGUGGAAUGCGCAGACAUCGGGAGGAACACCAGUGGCGAAGGCGGUUCUCUGGACCUUUCCUGACGCUGAGAAGCGAAAGCGUGGGUAGCAAACAGG